Molecule: long non-coding RNA, 787 nt
Organism: Clupea harengus (Atlantic herring)
Lineage: Eukaryota; Metazoa; Chordata; Actinopteri; Clupeiformes; Clupeidae
Exons: 3
Source: RefSeq, a predicted model, not a curated record
UAAGAGUUGCAUCGAUAUCGAAUGAGAUUAGUUAGGCUACUUUUACCCUUCUUAUCUAGAUUGUAUUGUCAACUCCAGCGUUAACGUUCGAGUGAGCCGUUAGACCGGGUUAAACGUGGGGUGAGCUUGCUGUCAACUCGGGCACUACAAUAUGUACAUUUUUAGACUAACGUUUCUUUCUCUCAGUUAAGAUGACCUGGCCGUAUAAUUUGUUAUGUUCUUCUGAGAAUUCCAUUUUGUACAGGUAAUAGGUAAUGUUAACCACAGUUUGUCAAUCCAUUUGGAUGAAGGCAAAUUGUGUUAGCCUUGACGCUAACUGCCAGCGACAUGUUAGCAAACUAGCUGCUAGCAUUAUGUACUUUCUCUCUUUGUGGUGGAUGUUGCAGUAUUUUUCAUUAACUAAUGAUGACAAAUUCAUGAAAUAACGUUAGCUGGGUGUCGGUAGCUAACACAACUACUGCAUAAACAUGUUUAGCUGUUCUUAGCCGACAUGACUUAACUAUAUCAACCUUGCUAUGCUGUCCACAGAAACCUGUGACUUGAAGUAUCUGGGAAGAGCCGUUACCACGGAUAAAUUCAGAAUGCUGCUACGAGUUCAGUUUGGGGGAGAGCAAAAAUACAUUAAGCUGUCUGAGCUGACAUUUGAUACUUUUUUGAAAGAAGUGUGCCUGAAAUUCAACAUACCAGAAGGCAGGCAGCUAGAUAUGAAGGUUUAUGACCAGUCUGAUACAGAGGUUGACUCUGAGGUUUUUGAAGAGAUAGUGAAGGAAUCACCUGGAGCCUUUCG